UACCUACGGGGGGCAGCAGUCGAGAAGCAUUCACAAUGGGGGAAACCCUGAUGGUGCGACGCCGCGUGGGGGAAUGAAGGUCGUCGGAUUGUAAACCCCUGUCAUGUGGGAGCAAAUUAAAAAGAUAGUACCACAAGAGGAAGAGACGGCUAACUCUGUGCCAGCAGAUGCGGUAAUACAGAGGGCUCAAGCGUUGUUCGGAAUCCCUGGGCGUAGAGCGUGCGUAGGCAGUUUCGUAAGUCGUGUGUGAGAGGCGCGGGCUCAACCCGCGGCCGGCACAUGAUACU
This 287-nucleotide ribosomal RNA is filed under the name uncultured bacterium. RNAcentral describes it as "partial 16S ribosomal RNA". It matches the Rfam family "Bacterial small subunit ribosomal RNA", at positions 335 to 634 of the family's 1533-position model. The record is from RNAcentral.